Molecule: ribosomal RNA, 465 nt
Filed under: Vreelandella stevensii
Lineage: Bacteria; Pseudomonadati; Pseudomonadota; Gammaproteobacteria; Oceanospirillales; Halomonadaceae
Description: partial 16S ribosomal RNA
Rfam family: Bacterial small subunit ribosomal RNA
Source: RNAcentral
CCUACGGGGGGCUGCAGUGGGGAAUAUUGGACAAUGGGGGGAACCCGGAUCCAGCCAUGCCGCGUGUGUGAAGAAGGCCCUCGGGUUGUAAAGCACUUUCAGUGAGGAAGAACGCCUGGUGGUUAAUACCCAUCAGGAAAGACAUCACUCACAGAAGAAGCACCGGCUAACUCCGUGCCAGCAGCCGCGGUAAUACGGAGGGUGCGAGCGUUAAUCGGAAUUACUGGGCGUAAAGCGCGCGUAGGUGGCUUGAUAAGCCGGUUGUGAAAGCCCCGGGCUCAACCUGGGAACGGCAUCCGGAACUGUCAAGCUAGAGUGCAGGAGAGGAAGGUAGAAUUCCCGGUGUAGCGGUGAAAUGCGUAGAGAUCGGGAGGAAUACCAGUGGCGAAGGCGGCCUUCUGGACUGACACUGACACUGAGGUGCGAAAGCGUGGGUAGCAAACAGGAUUAGAUACCCCAGUAGUC